GACGAACGCUGGCGGCGUGCUUAACACAUGCAAGUCGAACGGAAAGGCCUCUUUCGGGGGGUACUCGGGUGGCGGAGGGGUGGGUAACACGUGAGUAACCUGCCCUCGACUUUUUGAUGACUUCUGGAAACUGGGGCUAAUACCGGAUAGGGGCUCCUGCUUCCUGGUGGGGGUUGGAGAGUUUCGGCGGUUGGGGGUGUGCUGGUGGCGUAUCAGCUUUUGCGUGGGGUCGUGGUUUACCCAGGCUUUGGCGGGUAGCCGGCCUGAGAGGGUGACCGGCGACCUUGGGACCGAGAGACGGCCCCAGCUGCUACGGGUGGCAGCAGUGGGGAAUAUUGCACAAUGGGUGGCAGCCUGAUGCAGCAGGGCCGCGUGCGGGAUGACGGCCUUCGGGUUGUAGACCGCUUUCGCGCUUGACGAAGCUUUGUGUGACGGUAGUGGGUAAAGAAGCACCGGCUAACUACGUG
RNAcentral lists this ribosomal RNA (467 nucleotides) under uncultured bacterium. RNAcentral describes it as "partial 16S ribosomal RNA". It matches the Rfam family "Bacterial small subunit ribosomal RNA", at positions 28 to 507 of the family's 1533-position model. The record is from RNAcentral.